AACGGUCUAUACCUGCGGUACCUGCGGAAGGAUCAUUACAGGACUCGCAAGACUCCUACAACCCUGUGAACUUAACUAUAAGCACGUUGCUUCGGCGGGUGUCUCGGCGAGGGUUCUCCCUCCCCGGGGCGCUAAGCCCGCCGGCAGCCUACUAUACUCUGUCUCUUUGCGUUGGCAUCUCGAGUACAAACAAACAAGUUAAAACUUUCAGCAACGGAUCUCUAGAUCGGAAGAGCACAC
RNAcentral lists this unclassified non-coding RNA (240 nucleotides) under soil metagenome. Its description in RNAcentral is "partial contains 5.8S ribosomal RNA, internal transcribed spacer 2, and large subunit ribosomal RNA". The record is from RNAcentral.